GUUCUUUUAUUUAGGAAAAAAAGCUUGAUAGGAAAUGAUUAAGCCUUGAUCGUACUAAAUGAAUAAGUGACAGCUAACUAUGUGCCAGCAGCUGCGGUAAAACAUAGGUCACGAGCAUUAUCCGGAUUUAUUGGGCGUAAAGGAAGCGUAGGCGGACAAGUUGAUCUAUUGUGAAAAGCACUUGCUCAACAAGUUGUUUGUGAUAGAUAUCGCUUGUCUAGAAUUAGUUAGGAGAUACUGGAAUUCAAUGUGUAGCGGUGGAAUGCGUAGAUAA
This 274-nucleotide ribosomal RNA is filed under the name Candidatus Mycoplasma haematoparvum. Its description in RNAcentral is "partial 16S ribosomal RNA". It matches the Rfam family "Bacterial small subunit ribosomal RNA", at positions 430 to 697 of the family's 1533-position model. Lineage: Bacteria; Bacillati; Mycoplasmatota; Mollicutes; Mycoplasmatales; Mycoplasmataceae. The record is from RNAcentral.